UCUUUCGGCCUUUCGACCUUCUGUUCAAAGUAUUUUUUAGGGUUAUCUCUCUUAGUCAUUGAAAGUAAUUGUUUGUGUAAGCAUUUUCUGUGCGAUUGAGUUAGCUAUGCAAGUGCAGAAAAUUUCAAGUUUGUUGUCGCUCAGAAUUACUUUCUUCGAGCAACAGAGGUUGAUUUACAGAGGCUGGAUUUUGAAGGACGACCAAACCCUAGAUAGCUAAGGACUACUUUUUAGGCGGACAUGACGAAGAAGGAUUCUAAUUUCAUUGAGUUGCUCGAGGGCGAGCUCAGAAGUUCAGAAGGAUUUUUAAUAGAGAAAAAGGAAGAGUACAUCAUCGUCAAUGUCAUGCUGCAUUUAAGUUUUGGGCCUAGGUGCCCAUAGUAUUGUUUUUAUUUAUUGCUAUAGAAACUAUUGAAAUUCUAAUGCUUUUCAGAAUCAUUAGGAGGCUCUCUUUUCUAACAUCCAAUUGCCAACCGAUUUGGACGCAAAUAGCCAUCAGCCUUUAGGUGAAUAAGUCUUGACUUUCCAGAUCUCCCUUUGCUAGGUGGAACCAUCAAUUGGGUUAACAGGACUCAUCAACACUUGCCAAAUGCAUGGCCCAACCGUGGGUUGAAUAGCUCAUGUGUCCUGCGAUGCUCUCAACUAAUUUUUAACGGUGUCCAAUCGGGGCUCUGAAAGCUCAUCACUCUUGCACUAUUUUGUUUUACAGUUACAUCAUUAGUCGUGGGAUUAAAUGUCAAAUCAUCUACAUAUUCACUCUGUCGUUUUGAUGAACUCCAGGAGCGCUAGCCUAUGAGUUAUGACUACGAUUAACUCCAAAUCCAUUUCAGUGGCAGUUGAAUAUCUACAACUUUAAAGAGCACAUACUUGCUUUAAAAA
Long non-coding RNA from Rhododendron vialii, 879 nucleotides. RefSeq lists it as uncharacterized. The record is from RefSeq and is a predicted model, not a curated record. The transcript has 3 exons. NCBI's taxonomy places the organism in Eukaryota, Viridiplantae, Streptophyta, Magnoliopsida, Ericales, Ericaceae.